Molecule: ribosomal RNA, 412 nt
Filed under: uncultured bacterium
Lineage: Bacteria
Description: bacterial SSU rRNA
Rfam family: Bacterial small subunit ribosomal RNA
Source: RNAcentral
AUUGAACGCUGGCGGCAUGCCUUACACAUGCAAGUCGAACGGUAACAGGGAGCUUGCUCCGCUGACGAGUGGCGAACGGGUGAGUAAAGUAUCGGAACGUACCUUUCAGUGGGGGAUAACGCAGCGAAAGUUGCGCUAAUACCGCAUAUUCUGUGAGCAGGAAAGCAGGGGAUCGCAAGACCUUGCGCUGAUUGAGCGGCCGAUAUCAGAUUAGCUAGUUGGUGAGGUAAAGGCUCACCAAGGCGACGAUCUGUAGCGGGUCUGAGAGGAUGAUCCGCCACACUGGAACUGAGACACGGGUCCAGACUCCUACGGGAGGCAGCAGUGGGAAUUUUGGACAAUGGGGGCAACCCUGAUCCAGCCAUGCCGCGUGAGGGACGACGGCCUCGGUAGUAACGUACUUUAGUCUAGG